GUUGGGCCGGCCUCUGAGCAAGGGCGGCCCAACACGUGAAAAAAAAAAAGGGGAGGGAGUCUUUCGAUUGAAUGCCCUCCCUCCCCUGUUUCGGGAAUUUUUCCCCUCCUCCCGAAUCCACCGGAAGAAGAGAUUUAGGGGGGGAUCAAACCCUACUAUUUUGGGCCAAUCCUCUUCCAAGACCUCCUCCCUCUCUUCUUAGGGCACCAACCGAGAGAUCCUUUCAAAAAAAAAAAAAAAAGGGGGAGAGAGAUUUGGAGUUCUAGGCGAUCCGUGAGAGACUCGGGUUGUUCGCCGUCGGGCUUGCCGGAGAAGCUCACCGGAGACGAGGGGAACAAUUUGUUGGACAAGAGGACGUUGAGCAGGAUUCUGCGGAUUCCGAUUCAUAGAUCGUCGUGAGGGUGGGUAUUUAGUCUGUCUGAGUUUUUCAACAAAGGAGUUGCAGGAUGCAUAGAUUUGGAUGGGAUGGGCGCAGAGUGCAAGUAUCACAGUCAUUAGCUAGCUAGUUUGUUUAUCCUUGAUGUCGAUAAACAUUUGAAAGCUUUUGUAAAUGAACUAAAUUGAUUAUCUGGACAUGUCGGAUUUGUCUAUUUGAAUUACUAAAUUAAUUGUGGAUUUGUUGGAUUUUUGUUAA
This is a long non-coding RNA of Phoenix dactylifera (date palm), 634 nucleotides long. RefSeq lists it as uncharacterized. The record is from RefSeq and is a predicted model, not a curated record. Lineage: Eukaryota; Viridiplantae; Streptophyta; Magnoliopsida; Arecales; Arecaceae.